GGGGCCGUGGGGUAGCUUGGUCUAGCCUCCCAGCUUGGGGUGCUGGAGACCCGAGUUCAAAUCUCGGCGGCCCCACCA
This 78-nucleotide transfer RNA is filed under the name Hadesarchaea archaeon. RNAcentral describes it as "tRNA-Pro". It matches the Rfam family "tRNA". Rfam says of the family: Transfer RNA (tRNA) molecules are approximately 80 nucleotides in length. Their secondary structure includes four short double-helical elements and three loops (D, anti-codon, and T loops). Further hydrogen bonds mediate the characteristic L-shaped molecular structure. tRNAs have two regions of fundamental functional importance: the anti-codon, which is responsible for specific mRNA codon recognition, and the 3' end, to which the tRNAs corresponding amino acid is attached (by aminoacyl-tRNA synthetases). tRNAs cope with the degeneracy of the genetic code in two manners: having more than one tRNA (with a specific anti-codon) for a particular amino acid; and 'wobble' base-pairing, i.e. permitting non-standard base-pairing at the 3rd anti-codon position. Lineage: Archaea; Methanobacteriati; Hadarchaeota (SeqCode); Hadarchaeia (SeqCode). The record is from RNAcentral. RNAcentral also lists the same sequence under 1 other name.